UGCAAGUCGAACGAACUCUGGUAUUGAUUGGUGCUUGCAUCAUGAUUUACAUUUGAGUGAGUGGCGAACUGGUGAGUAACACGUGGGAAACCUGCCCAGAAGCGGGGGAUAACACCUGGAAACAGAUGCUAAUACCGCAUAACAACUUGGACCGCAUGGUCCGAGCUUGAAAGAUGGCUUCGGCUAUCACUUUUGGAUGGUCCCGCGGCGUAUUAGCUAGAUGGUGGGGUAACGGCUCACCAUGGCAAUGAUACGUAGCCGACCUGAGAGGGUAAUCGGCCACAUUGGGACUGAGACACGGCCCAAACUCCUACGGGAGGCAGCAGUAGGGAAUCUUCCACAAUGGACGAAAGUCUGAUGGAGCAACGCCGCGUGAGUGAAGAAGGGUUUCGGCUCGUAAAACUCUGUUGUUAAAGAAGAACAUAUCUGAGAGUAACUGUUCAGGUAUUGACGGUAUUUAACCAGAAAGCCACGGCUAACUACGUGCCAGCAGCCGCGGUAAUACGUAGGUGGCAAGCGUUGUCCGGAUUUAUUGGGCGUAAAGCGAGCGCAGGCGGUUUUUUAAGUCUGAUGUGAAAGCCUUCGGCUCAACCGAAGAAGUGCAUCGGAAACUGGGAAACUUGAGUGCAGAAGAGGACAGUGGAACUCCAUGUGUAGCGGUGAAAUGCGUAGAUAUAUGGAAGAACACCAGUGGCGAAGGCGGCUGUCUGGUCUGUAACUGACGCUGAGGCUCGAAAGUAUGGGUAGCAAACAGGAUUAGAUACCCUGGUAGUCCAUACCGUAAACGAUGAAUGCUAAGUGUUGGAGGGUUUCCGCCCUUCAGUGCUGCAGCUAACGCAUUAAGCAUUCCGCCUGGGGAGUACGGCCGCAAGGCUGAAACUCAAAGGAAUUGACGGGGGCCCGCACAAGCGGUGGAGCAUGUGGUUUAAUUCGAAGCUACGCGAAGAACCUUACCAGGUCUUGACAUACUAUGCAAAUCUAAGAGAUUAGACGUUCCCUUCGGGGACAUGGAUACAGGUGGUGCAUGGUUGUCGUCAGCUCGUGUCGUGAGAUGUUGGGUUAAGUCCCGCAACGAGCGCAACCCUUAUUAUCAGUUGCCAGCAUUAAGUUGGGCACUCUGGUGAGACUGCCGGUGACAAACCGGAGGAAGGUGGGGAUGACGUCAAAUCAUCAUGCCCCUUAUGACCUGGGCUACACACGUGCUACAAUGGAUGGUACAACGAGUUGCGAACUCGCGAGAGUAAGCUAAUCUCUUAAAGCCAUUCUCAGUUCGGAUUGUAGGCUGCAACUCGCCUACAUGAAGUCGGAAUCGCUAGUAAUCGCGGAUCAGCAUGCCGCGGUGAAUACGUUCCCGGGCCUUGUACACACCGCCCGUCACACCAUGAGAGUUUGUAACACCCAAAGUCGGUGGGGUAACCUUUUAGGAACCAGCCGCCUAAGGUG
This 1443-nucleotide ribosomal RNA is filed under the name Lactiplantibacillus plantarum. RNAcentral's name for it is "bacterial SSU rRNA". It matches the Rfam family "Bacterial small subunit ribosomal RNA". Lineage: Bacteria; Bacillati; Bacillota; Bacilli; Lactobacillales; Lactobacillaceae. The record is from RNAcentral.